UACAGAGGUCUCAAGCGUUGUUCGGAAUCACUGGGCGUAAAGCGUGCGUAGGCUGUUUCGUAAGUCGUGUGUGAAAGGCGCGGGCUCAACCCGCGGACGGCACAUGAUACUGCGAGACUAGAGUAAUGGAGGGGGAACCGGAAUUCUCGGUGUAGCAGUGAAAUGCGUAGAUAUCGAGAGGAACACUCGUGGCGAAGGCGGGUUCCUGGACGUUAACUGACGCCGAGGCACGAAGGCCAGGGGAGCGAAAGGG
RNAcentral lists this ribosomal RNA (253 nucleotides) under uncultured bacterium. RNAcentral describes it as "partial 16S ribosomal RNA". It matches the Rfam family "Bacterial small subunit ribosomal RNA", at positions 524 to 776 of the family's 1533-position model. The record is from RNAcentral.